This 21756-nucleotide long non-coding RNA is filed under the name Gossypium barbadense (sea-island cotton). RNAcentral describes it as "long non-coding RNA (GBAR_LNC004900)". The record is from RNAcentral. Lineage: Eukaryota; Viridiplantae; Streptophyta; Magnoliopsida; Malvales; Malvaceae.
UAUGAAGAAUCAAAUCAUCAAAAAUAAAAUAAUUCCUUUGCACUAUUUUUUUUUUCCAAAAGCUAAGCUUAAAGCGUCAACCAAUGUCUGAUUAUUGAAUAAUUUUUUUGAUUAAUUAGCUAAGAACAAGAUUAAGUGGGGGCAUCCUUCAUUAGCUCUUCCCCACAUCAACUUAUUUAAAUCCCCAAAAUCUAGUGUCUGUUCCAGCUCUUUCUCCAGAUUUUUUUUCUCUCUCCAUUUUUUUUUUACCUAUAUCACUCUUCUUCGGCUUCCCUAGCUUCUUGAGGUAUAAUUUUCUUUGUAAACGGAUCCGAUUUUUUUUUUCUAAUUUUCUCAUUUUUAUUUGGUUAUUUUCUUGAUUCAGUUAAAAAAUUCGUAAUCAGAUCGUUAGGUUAUAUAUUUUGAUUUGACGUUCAUUUUAUGUUGUAUUGUUUUGCGUUUGCAUUUUCUGCUUUGAACGUGAAUGGUGAUUCGUUUUCCGUUAAGUAAUUUGUUUGUUUGACGGUUUUGAGAACUGUUAAUUCGUUUUGAUUCGGAAUUUGUCACUGAUGGCGGUGAAAAGCUUUGUUUUCGAGGUUUUUUGCGUGAAAUCCGUUUGGUUACAGAGAAAGUUAUUGUAAAAAAAAGCCAUCCGAGAAACAUUUUUCUUGUUCAAAACAUUUCUAUAAUAAACCGUUUUGACUUCUUCUUGUCAAGCUUUCUCGGCAACUUAGUUGAGAAAUGGAGUGUUUCACGCCCACUCAAUUGCUAGCAUUUUCUUUCUCUUUAUUACAACAUUUAAAAAAAUUAUUGCUAAAGGAGUUUUGUCAUUUUGGACUUUUUUUCAGGUGACAAUAAGAGGAGAGAAAGUUUAAGAUUCAAAGCAAAUUAGCUUUUGUUUCCAGGUGGUUCUUAUUAAUCUUCUUAACAUUUUCAUGUACGCUAUCUUUUUUAAUUAUUUUAUAUCCUGCCGUUGUCUGAAUAGUGUUUUAGCACUGUUCAUAUUUCUUUUUUUGUUUUGGUUGGGUCACUACAAAGCAUUAUAUGAUUACAUCAGCUUAGUUUCAAUUUAAAAAUUUGUAUUACUGACCCUCAAAAAAAAAUUGCAUUAGUGAAUGAGCUUGAGCCCUUUUAUACAUUGAGAUGCGAAAUAUAUGUCAUAGCAUACACGUUUUCAAACAGUUCUGAUCAUUUUUUGCAAGUUGGCGUUUCAUAUAAUUUCGUUAUGCUUUCACUGCUGUAGAAUCAUCAUUAUUUGGGUUUAUUAGGUAUGCAUAGUGUUAGUCCGUAGCUCUUUCAGCACAACAAUUAUGGAAAAGCACAUAAAAUAUUGUGGUAAUGUCUGUCUUUAUUGUCAUGCGAGAUGUUUCUAUACAUAUAGUUGAUGGUCAUUAAAUACUUGGUUAAAAAUUUGAACAUUUCUUAGAGAGUUUAUGAUGAAUAAAUGGUUUGUAUGCAUGAGUUUCAUGUGGAGAUUUGCUACAUGGCUACAUAUAUCUAGCGUUCAGUUCCUUUUUGCUAGCUAAAGUACAAUUCAAUGAAACUAAUCAUUUUGCUUUUCGUUGAAGUUCUGUUGAAGUAGAAGGUAGGUGAUACGAGUCACAAAAGCCCAAAUUCUUGAAGGCGAGGCCCAAUAAGCAAAUUCCCAGCCCAAUCAAGAAAUCCAUCCAUACUUAGUUGAAAAUCAGGCCAAAUUGUCAAAGUGGCCCAAGUUGUAAAGUUUUAUUUUUAUUUUUAUUUAUUUAUUUAUUUAUUUACUUAGUUUAAAUUUUUAUGUCAAUAUUCAGUCCAAGAGUCUCAGAUAAAAUGACCUUUGACCGAAUUUCCAUAUUAAAAUAAUUAGGAGUUUUUUUUUAUUUUAGUUUUCUAAUUAGAUUAGGACUAGUUAUAAGGCCUAUUUAAAGGCAUGACUGUCCACCUUGUUAAACACUUAUCAUUAUUAUUAAAAUUUCAGAUUUGUUGAGAGCAGAAUUUUCUUUGAGUUUUCUCCAAGAUUUCUCUCUUGAGUUUUCUUUAGAAGUUGUUUUAACAAUCUUGUGAUUGUGGGAGCCAUCUUCAACCUUCUUCUUGCCAUUGAUAUUCUUUGGAGGGGAGAUUAGAGCCGUUUGAAGGGAGUUGUGAGAUCUUUCGAGAUUUCAAGGCUUCUUAGGACUUAUCUUUUAAUUUCUUACUGUCAAUUCUUUCUUUAUUUCUACUUGUGCUGAAUCAUUAUCUAAUCUAUUUUCUGUUCUUAUUGUGUUUUCAGCCUUUUUCUAUCUUAAGGAAUCAGCCCAAAAAUCCCCAAUUUCUAGGGUUUUUCCAUACUCUUUUUUGGGUGAAAUUAGAUUGUCGAAAUUUGGGGAAAACUAUCUUGGUGUUCAAUUGGGCAGAAUCACAAUCUCCUUGAGGGUUUCAAGAACCCUAACACUUAUUUCUAUUCUCAAUUUGAUUCUUUGCUGAUUUGGGGAUUUUAUUUUAGAUCUGAAAAUUCAAAAAUCUAAUCUUUUAAUUUUCUGUUUCGUUUCAGAUCUAAUUGUUUAGGGUUUUCGUAGGAGUUUCUCGUGACUUGGCAACUCGAUCUUGGUCCGCGCGCAACCCCGUAUCAUUUGGUAUCAGAUUUUGGGCGUUUUGGGUGUUCUUGGUUGAUUUCUAAACUGAUCUCUAUUUUUUAAAUUACAAACAGCAGUUUUACCCAGAAAAAUUUUCGAAAAAAAUUCAUUUGAGUGGGUAAACGUUUUCUGAUUGAUCUGAAAUUUUACAUACAUAUUUUUGGCACUGUUAUUGAAUAUACAAAAAUAUUUCCCGCAAAAAAAAUAAGUCGAAAAAGUCAAAAAAUUGAAAAAAGACGAAAUCUAAUAAAAAAUUAAAAAAAUAUUCAGCGGGUUGAAUUUGGUGCCCAAAUUUUCCAGAUCAAAAAUUAAAUAUAUAAGGACACUCUAGAUUUAAUUUCGUGAUUUUUGGAGAUCGGGAACACCUCGAACGAAGUUGUCAAAUUACUCCGCAGUUUUUCGGGUUUUCUGUUUUCAGCAAUUUUUAUUGAUUCUUAGCUGUAGGUUUUCAUUUGUUUACCUUUAUUCUUCCUUUACGUUAUCUAACACCUUCUUGUUUCUUGUGUUAGUAGGAUUUAAACGUAUGCACAACUUCUUCCUCGGUGCAACACGAAUCAAUUGGUGUCUCGUCAGUUUUUGGCAUCCUAGUGCAAAUUAGGAUUCUUUGGUAGUUUGGUUCACACUCUCUAAUUGGUUGAUAUAAACUCUGAUAAAGAACUCACAAGAUUGAAUUCGACCUCAUUGAGAAUUUGAAUUUUCUUUUUGAGUGAUUAAUGGUGAGGUUUGCUAACUUUUAUUUUUGAGUGUUGAGUGUUUAUUUUUUACAGGUUUUGAAGAUGUCUAAAGGUGAUAAUAAUGAUGCACUUAUGAAAGUCCAACAACAGUUAGAUGGACAUACUGCUGCAAUCACACAAAUAAAUGCUACACUUCAAGCAUUGAAUACUACUUUGAAUGAGGUACGAGUGAAUCAAAAACAUCAAUAUCGAGAUCCAAUUAAGGAAGAUAGGGAUAACCAACCCCAAAGGCGCGGCCCUCGACGUGUCACUAGAAUGGAUGAUGAUUUUCAUGAUCGUAGACAAUCAUCUUUGGCAAAACCAAGGAGCGAGCAGCAACGAGAACAUCUCUUUCAUACUCGCUGCCAUGUACAAGGUAAGCUUUGUAGAGUUAUUAUUGAUGGUGAAAGUUGCUCGAACAUAGCCAGCACGACGAUGGUGGAAAAGCUUUGCUUAACCACUACCAAGCAUCCACAACCUUAUCAACUACAAGGGCUUAGCAACGAAGGCCAAUUUAGGGUCACUCAACAAGUGCGCAUUGCCUUUUCUAUCGGUAAGUAUCAAGACGAAGUUGUGUGCGACGUAAUGCCUAUUCAAGCCUGCCAUUUGUUGCUAGGAGAACCAUGGCAACUGGAUCGAAAAGUCACUCACGAUGGUCGUACCAAUAGGUAUUCUUUCAAGCAUCAAGGAAAGAAACUUACCUUAGUGCCGCUCACUCCGGAACAAGUCCAUGAGGACCAAAUCAAACUAAGAAAUUCUGUUAAAACAAGUGAGGAAAAAGAAAAAGAGAAUGAAAAAGAGCAAAAAGAGAUUGAGAGUGAAAAGGAAUGUGAAACAGAAAAGAAAAUUGAAAAAGAAGUUGAAGAAAGAAGAGAAAAUGAGUUAGAAAAAGAAACAAAAGAAAAAGACGAGGAAAGGCUAGUGAGGAAUGUUUCCACUAACCAAGAUAUGAAUUUUUCUUGUGUUGCUACUUUUCAGGUUCCCGAAAGAUCGAAAGAUAACUUUCAACUUCAAUACCUCUCAAAUGAAAGACGCUUUCAUACGAUCAACUUAAGCAAAGAUGAAAUCACACUACAUGAUCCCGAAGGUAAGCGAGGUAAGGAAAUUUUAGAAACCGAGUCCAUUGCAGAUUUGAAAAUUAUUGAUAAAACUUUUGGUGACUUAGUUCUUAAAAUAUCCCCUCAUUUUGAUCCGAUUAAUUGUUACUCUUCGAUUGUGGUUGAUAAAGUCAUUACGAAAAGAAGCGUGAUUUGUUAUUCUCUUGAUUUACCUUGUGUAAAAUCCUCGAAUUUGUCCAAAUCUGUUUUCGAGAAUAAGGUAACGAAAUUUUCCAAAUUUGUUUUCAAUUUAUAUUCGUGCCUUAAACAGUUUAUGUGGUUGUACAUGAAGUUUGAGUUCCAUUUGACAAAGGUUAACUCAACAACGGAGAUUCGACUACACUAUGCCCCCGAUGAGCGAAAGUUUGUUUUAAAUGAAAAAGGUAAAAUCAACCCUUAUUCUUCUGCUUAUCGAGGUAAGAUGCUUGAAACCUUUGAAACACUUUUGUACUCCUUGGAUAGUGAUAAAGAUCGUGUUGAUGAACACUUAGAUCGAAACGUGCUUGACUGUCCUAUUUUAUUUAUUGAUGAUCUAUCUGUUUUGAUGAUUGAUAAAAAGAUUCUUGUUUUUGAUAAUGCAUGUGUGAGUGAAUCUAUAGACCGUCGAUUAAUGCAUGGUAUGAUUAUGCAACUCUGUGAACCAUGUGAAUCUUUUCAAAUACCUACUUGUGACGAUUAUGUUUACCAUUUGAUUUAUUACUCGCAAUUUAUUCAUGGUUUGUGGGAACAAUGUGAGACGACUGAAUGCCUUAAAACAUGUCCAUCUUUGUUUCAAAUAUUUGACGAGGCAGUGGUGAGUAAAUUAGAUUGUUUGCAUGGUAAUCUGAAUCUGUCCAUUCACAUACGUUAUACCUGUUCUGUUAUGCUUAUGAUUGGACUACAAGCUUGUUUCCGUUGCUAUUUACUAUCUCAUGGCUAUUCUUUUCAGUGGACUCAAUUGCCAUUAGUCCCGUUCGAUAGAGGAAAGUCGAGUUCAUUUGAUUUUUCAGAUUCGAGGACGAAUCUUUUUGAGGAAGGGGGGAAUGAUACGAGUCACAAAAGCCCAAAUUCUUGAAGGCGAGGCCCAAUAAGCAAAUUCCCAGCCCAAUCAAGAAAUCCAUCCAUACUUAGUUGAAAAUCAGGCCAAAUUGUCAAAGUGGCCCAAGUUGUAAAGUUUUAUUUUUAUUUUUAUUUAUUUAUUUAUUUAUUUACUUAGUUUAAAUUUUUAUGUCAAUAUUCAGUCCAAGAGUCUCAGAUAAAAUGACCUUUGACCGAAUUUCCAUAUUAAAAUAAUUAGGAGUUUUUUUUUAUUUUAGUUUUCUAAUUAGAUUAGGACUAGUUAUAAGGCCUAUUUAAAGGCAUGACUGUCCACCUUGUUAAACACUUAUCAUUAUUAUUAAAAUUUCAGAUUUGUUGAGAGCAGAAUUUUCUUUGAGUUUUCUCCAAGAUUUCUCUCUUGAGUUUUCUUUAGAAGUUGUUUUAACAAUCUUGUGAUUGUGGGAGCCAUCUUCAACCUUCUUCUUGCCAUUGAUAUUCUUUGGAGGGGAGAUUAGAGCCGUUUGAAGGGAGUUGUGAGAUCUUUCGAGAUUUCAAGGCUUCUUAGGACUUAUCUUUUAAUUUCUUACUGUCAAUUCUUUCUUUAUUUCUACUUGUGCUGAAUCAUUAUCUAAUCUAUUUUCUGUUCUUAUUGUGUUUUCAGCCUUUUUCUAUCUUAAGGAAUCAGCCCAAAAAUCCCCAAUUUCUAGGGUUUUUCCAUACUCUUUUUUGGGUGAAAUUAGAUUGUCGAAAUUUGGGGAAAACUAUCUUGGUGUUCAAUUGGGCAGAAUCACAAUCUCCUUGAGGGUUUCAAGAACCCUAACACUUAUUUCUAUUCUCAAUUUGAUUCUUUGCUGAUUUGGGGAUUUUAUUUUAGAUCUGAAAAUUCAAAAAUCUAAUCUUUUAAUUUUCUGUUUCGUUUCAGAUCUAAUUGUUUAGGGUUUUCGUAGGAGUUUCUCGUGACUUGGCAACUCGAUCUUGGUCCGCGCGCAACCCCGUAUCAGUAGGAGUUAAAUUGAGUGCCGAAUGACAUUUUCUUUGAGCAAGUUUUGAGUUUUUUUGGUGUUUCUUUUCUGUAUUAAUUGCUGCUUAUCGCUUUUGUUGUCCUCACUUCAUUGGAGCAAGUUUUGGGUUUGUUGUCCUUGCCUUAUAGCAGUUCUUAGUUUUGUUUUAUUGCUAUUAGGUUCUGGUUAAGUAACUCAAAACUCUAUGUGAAACAUCACUUUUGAGAACUUAUCAUUUGCUAAGACUGCUAAACCUGCUGGCUCUAUUAUGGUAGAGGCAUGAUCUUAUUGGAUAGGAGAUCUUUGGAAUAUGUAAAAGAAUAGGAUAAUUCUAGAGUGUAGAGCCGGAGGGCAUGUUUCUAAGGUUUUUUUCUCUUCAACUUGCAAGUUCGAUCCUUUCCCCCAGGUUUUGUUUUGUUCUUUUAGUAACUUUGCCUGUACUUUGACUACUUUUGUUGUUGGCUAUUAUAAAUUUUUGGAGAUUUGCUUGGUUUAUGCCAAGCUUUAGUGGUUUAAGAUAUUAAUAUUAUUUAAAGUAAUACACCAUUUUAGAUAUAUUUCUCCAUUUCAUAUUUUAGAAGUUCAUACUAAUCUGUUUUAAAAAUGUUUGUAUAAUUUAUCCCAAUAUAAAAAUUAAUAAUACAUUUUUGUAAAACAAUUUUAAACCUUUAAAUUUUUUGCUAUGUUAUGAACAUGAGAGCUGAGUCACGAGACCAUUGAUGGGUAAGUCGAAGUCAAUUGUCUUCCCUUUAUCUGUAUUCUUGUAAUGAUCUAUUGUGAUUGAUAGUUCAGCCAAUCAAAGGGAGACCAAAACCUUAAGAUUCAAUAGAGAGAGACCCAGACACCUUAGGGUUUUUUUGAUAGAAAUUCUGCUUAUUAUUCCAUACGCCUCUUCAGAUAAGGACCAAUCUUAUUACAUACAUAGGAAAACCUAUUCUAAAAAGGAAAUUAAUUAAUUGAAAUAAAUUCACAAUCAAGAAACCUAAGGGAACACAUAAAAUUGCAACCCAAGACUUGAUUAGAGAAGCGAAAUUAUGGCCUUUCCUAACAUAGGUUCAACCCAUAACAUUACCCCCUCUUGCCAUGUGAGCUUAUCCUUAAGUUUGAAGUCAAGAUAACUUGACAAUAUAAAUCAACCUAGUUCAGUCUCAAUUUUAGUUUUUGGUGCUUCAUGAGUCAAAUAAGCUACUUUCAACCAAAAGGGGUAGGAAAAUUUACUGAAUUAGCUUUAAUAGUUCCCCCUAAUAUAUUGCUGCCAUCAUUACCUUGCCAAGUUCCUCUAUGGUUAUUUCUGACAUGUAGUAUUUGCUGCUUCUAUUCAAAGGCUUUAGUGAGGCUUGUAGUUAUGGCUAAAUUAGGGGGCUCGUGCAUUUGAACAUCCAAGCGAAUGGAAUCAUUUGGUCCAGCCAUGAAAAACCCAUCAUGUCAGUUUACUUGAAUGUAUUGACUAGCUCUUGCUAAUUUUUGUUGAUAUUGUUGCUGAUAAAGCUCUAAAGUUCCUGUCUAUUUCAAACUAACCAGAUCUCCCAAGGAGUUGCCGCCCAUCAGAGCACCAAAACUAAAGGAGCCAUAAUUAUAGGAUUCUUACUGGUUCAUCACAUGUCCCUCCAAUUUGAUUUAAUAAUACCAAAGUGGUGCCUCACCCAGAAUGUGGAAGGCUGCCAAACUUACCUUGUUUGCCUCAUUGGCGUGUUGGUUUUGAAAAAUUAUUCACAUCAAUGUAGCCAAAUCAAAGGAUCCUUUGAUCCAUCAAAAGUUUGAAAAUCUACUUUUGUGUACUUGGGAAUAAUUCCAAUUGAUGGAACCCUCUGCUCCCCAAGUGGUGGUGGCGCCAUGCCUCCUACAGUAGUUGGUGGGAAAUGCAUCGGUCUAGUUGGAUUGUUUUACUGCCUACAUCACCAUCCCUAGUUUUUUUGCCCAAGUAAAAAAUUAGGGUUUUGAGUUGUUCCUAGAUAUGUCGAGUUAUUUGUUGAAGGUAGAUGUUUAUACGAGUUUUUAGAUUGAUGAACUUAGCCUCCACCACAGGUUUCAAAACAAUUCUCUCUUAUAACAAUGCUCAUACAUCAUUGCCAAUGUGAUAUGCUUUGAUGCCAAAUUGUUAUGGACAUGAGAAUAGGAUUUGAGUCAUAGGGCGAUUAAUAGGGAAGUUGAAGUCAAUUGUGUUAUUAUUGUGAUUGACAUUUCAGCUCAUCAAAGGAACACAGAAACCUUAGGACCGGUAAAGAGAGACUUGAAUCUCUUUAGUUUUAUUCAUAGAAAUUUUGUUUAGGGUUUAUUAUUCUAUACAUCCCUUUAAACGAGGACCAGUUUUAUUACAUAAAUAAGAAAUUUAUUCUAAGAAGAAAUAAAUAAAUUGAUAUAAAAUCACAAUCAAGAAACUUAGGAAAGAAUUAAAAUUGCAACCUAGUCCUUAAUUAGAGAAUCAAAAUUUAUGCCCUUCCUAACAUAGGUUUGGCCCAUAACAUGCUAAUUAUAUUUUGUAUUACUAGUACUUUAAACUAUUUAAUUCUGUCAUGUAACUGAUAGUUUUUCCCAGCCUCUUUUUCACACAAUAAAGCUCAAUCAAUAUGUCUUUGCAUGUAUGUUUGUAUCUAUCAUUUUGGUUCCAAACUUUAACUAGUUAAUGCUGGUUAGAUUAGGCUUCCUUUGGUGUGUGGCUAAUAGCUUUUACUUGGAUAGUUUGCACGCUAUGCCUUGUUUAGCAUUGCUUCUCAAACCAAUCUUUCAAGCCAAACGAACUUUUUGAGUCAUUAAUAAUGCUAAAUAGUCAGCUUUUCAAACCUCACCAAAAAGUUGAAAAUUAUAGCUUUUGGCUUUUCGAAAGCUAGUUUGGGUGCCAAAAUAUAAUUUUGCAGGUUUACAAUAUUCAUUGCCUAAAAAGUAUUUAAAAUUUAUAUUUUAUAUAUUAUACUUACAAUGAAUUAUUAUAAAUUAUUUUUGUUAUACUUUCUAUUAUGAGCUAAGUUGAAUAUUUGUUCAUACCAAAAUAAUUUUAACAUGACAUUGUGGUAAUAAUAAUAAAGACAAGGGAAAGAAUGAUACUUUGCAUUUGAGUCAAUUAUUCAUUACUUAUGAAAUUUUUAUUGAUUUAUAAGAGUUAUGCUUAUAUGUUAUAUGGUUUAUACAUUAGAAAAUUUAUUAACAAUUAAUAUUAAUUGCUUAAAUGUAUUAAUUACUUAAAUGUAUUAAUUAUUGAUAUUUCAUACAUCAUAAUAUUAACAAUUUUGAAUACCAUUUAAAUUAACUUAUUUUUUACUUUACAACAUCAUGUCUAAAAUGAAUAUUUUUACUUUUUACUUCUUUAUAGCAAUGCCGAACAUUUGAAAUCGUGUAUCACACUUUUCAAAAGCUAAGUCAUUAUUCAUAUGUGGAAUCAAAAUCUUGAAAUCAUUUAACCCUCCCCAAUCAAGAAAUAGAAGUCAUGGGUCAUUGAUAUUAUUGCUUGUUCUAAAAUUCCAAGCAAAAAUCUCAAAAUGUACUCCUUAUUUGAUUGAGGAAAAAAUAUAAGGAAAAUAACAAUUUUGUGGGGUAGAGAUGAACACUACGAUAAUGAGAUUGAAAUGAUCUAAGUAAUUCAUCAUAAGAAGUGUUCUUGGUGACAAAAUAUAAUAAAUGCUUUAAAAAUGUAAGUGACUAAUUUACAACUUCAAAUCAUUUAAUCUAUAAAAGAUAUAAAUAUCAAGCUGUUAAGUUUCAACAUGCACGACCUAUGCUGAAUUUUCCUCUUCAGGCCCUUUGGUUAGUCCUACCUCAAAUAGAGCCAAAACACAUUUAAUGUCAAUAUGUUGGAAAACUUACCUUACUGCUUUAAGAGUUCAGUCCUAAUUCAUGUUUUCAGGUGCAUUGAGCCUUUGUGAGAGGGUGAUGUGCAUAUUAUUAAUGUCUGUUUUUUUUUAUGUGCAUAUUAUUAAUGUCUGUUUUUCUUUCUUUUGUUAAUUAAUGUAAUGAUAUGAGUUCAUUUCUCUGUUUUUUCUCCUUUUAGCUUAUUUCUUGUUUGCUUUCUUCCUUUUCCUUUAUUAUUGUGCUUGAUUAUGUUUCUUGAUGAAUAACUAGGCUUUGGUUGCAUGAAGACUUAAUGUUCCAAAUGCUAUUUUGAGGUGUAUGUUAGAUAUGUCCAAUAUGCAUCUAAGUUCUAGUUUGCUGUUGUUAUACUUGCAUUUUUACAAUUCAAAGUCAGGUUAUUUUGAUAGUCAAUCAUUGUUCUAUGGCAUUUCUUUCCUACAUGUUACAUCCCUCCUUUUCCGUUGGAUCAACAUUUGAAUAUAACUAAGCUUAAUUGCAAGGCACCUGUCUAAGUUCUAUUUUGCUCUUAUUAUAUUUGCAUUUAUUUUACAAUUGGAAGUCAGGUUAUUUUGAUGGUCCAUAAUUGUUUUAUAGUGUUUCUUCUCAACAUGUUGCAACCCUCCUCUUUUUUCCGGGCUUGGGACCGGCUGUAAUUGCAGCUAUAAGCAUCUUGUGCUACCACAGGCAGAGUUAUUGCAACAUAUGCAUAUAGUUUCUUGUUAAAUACACUGUUUCCUUGCUCUGUGAGCUAUAUUUUAUGACAUUUGGGUUGUGAACCUUCUUGGGAUGCUUGCAUGCUGUCCAAUUUAUUGUAGUGUCCUGAGACUUUCUGAAAGUGAAUGUAGCCUGAAGUUAAGUUACUUUUACGGCCCAAAGUCUCAAUUGUAACUGUAUAUACUGGUUAUGUUAAUCCAAGCUCUUUUUUUUUUUUUUUUUUAUUGGGGGGGGGGGAGUGACUGUCCCAGGUCUUAAGCCAUGUAGGUUAUAUUUGUGCAUCUUCUAGUUAGGCAGUCAACUAGAAACACGAAUUGUAACUGCAUGUGCUGGUUAUGUCAGUCAAAGCUAUUCUCGGGGGUGGGUGGACUGUCCUAGGUCUUAAAGCCAUGUAGGCUAUACUUGUGAAUUUUCUAUUGAGCAGUAAACUAGAAACACGAUCCGAUGGUUUUAACAUUUUGAAAUUGUACUGCCAUCAUAUGUAUAUGCUAUGUUUAAGUCUCUCAAUAUUGGUUUGUAUUAACUAAUCGUGUUAUAUAUUAAAUACCAAAGAAACUCGUUUUUACCUUCUGUUCAUAUAGUAUUGUAAUGUAUUAUAAGGCGGCUAUUUUCUUUAGUUACCUUGAACUGGUAUUCUAAAACUUUUAUAUUAUUAUUCUUUUGGUAUUGCAGGUCAUGUUAUCAGCUUUCUGUCUACAAUGUAAUGAAUGAGAAAACGUAGGACUCUAUAAGAAGGUAAACCUAAUAAAAAAAAAUGAAUUACAUAAGAAGGUAUAAAUAUAAUUGAAAAUUGAGUUGUAGUAAAACUUGAAUGAAUUUACUCUUUUAAGGAUCUUGUUGGUGAUGCUUCCAUAUUUCGAAUUUUUUUGUAGCUUCACCAAUCUAAAUAUUAACAUUUUUCUGAACCACCGUGUUGCUGUCAUAGAAGUUUCGAAAGAUGAAGCUUUUUCAUUUCAAAUUAACAAAAACAAGUGUGUAAUUACGAUAUUCAUUUCAGUCAUCUUUGAAACUUCAAAAAAGUUAAUGCUGGUUUCUCCUUCUUAUAUAUAUAUAUUUAUUUAUUAGCUUAAAUUAUCUUUACAUAACUAGAUGGUUUUCUUGAUCAUCACACACAUGCUAAAGUUCAUUUGUUUAAACAUUUCAAACCAAUGUUUGCUGAAUGAUUGGUGGUUUUAACAUACCACAUCUUACUAUGAGAAGCAUAACUUUGGAACCAUGAGAUAUUUGUUGAUAGAAGUUGAGUGACAUCCAAUCCCAUUUCUGUACAUCUGCUUUUGCUACUGCAAUUGCAGUCUGCUGCAGUUACCAUGAAAAAAAGGUGUACAUCAAAUUGGGGCAAAGAAAUCUGCAUUAAAUCAAAAUCUAACAUAUAGAGUGGGAUGUACCCCAAGUUUGUAGCUCUUGUUGGUGUUUCAUAGCUUUGUUGCUGUGGCUGGCACAGCUGGAGACAAACUGGAACUUGUGAAUCCUCUCCAAUGCCUAAACCAUUUGUAAGAAGGGAGUCUUUGUUUGCACCAUCGACAUCCCUUGUUCCAUAAACCUGGAUGUGUUAAACUUUGAUUUUGAGGUUGGUUUUAGAAAUUCUUAUAACAGGCAAAGGUUUAAUGGUUGAAUCUUUUUAAUGUUUCUAGUAUAUUGGGAUUGUUAUGAUCCAUUAAUACCUUCUUAUAUAAUUCAUUGUUUUCUUGACGAAUUAGGUUUACCUUCUUAUAGAGUUCCACAUUUUCUUGAUGAAUUAUGUUCCCCUGCAACGAGACACUGCAAUUUAGCCACUUAUGCUGAGACAGUAUGGUAGUAAGGAGCUGAAGUUAUUGUGUCAGGAUUUACCUUUCUGUUCAAUUCUUGAAUUUCAUUCAUUAAAAUUUGAUCCUACAGCAGUGGAAUAAAUGUUACUAAAUGGGGUUGCUUUAUUUUGCAUGCUGUUUUGAACUUAAAAUCUGAGCAUGACUUGGAAAUAAAAGUUUCAAACCUUCUUCAUACGAACACCGCGAAGGCUCAUUUCCAAUUGGCUCUCCAAAUUCUGUAACUCUUUUACACCCAAUCCAGAAAGUUCUUCACCCAUCAUUUGCCUGUUUUGGUGUGCAGAAGCAUAAUUUCAGUCUAUAAAUUUUCAUCUUAGACAUUAUAAAAGUCUUUUGUAGGCAUGUACAUGAGAUGCAAUGGACUUUACAUUCUCAUUCUACUCUUGGGUCCAUUCAAUGCUUCAGGGUUAGAUAUGAAAUCCUUUUAUAGGAAAGAAAAUUAUGGCUGGGACUGCUAGUCUCUGUGUGUUCAUUUUUGUUGAAGGAUGAAUGAUUCAUUCAGUCUAAUCUUUAGAUAUAUAUGAAUCAUGCCAUAAAGGAUAGAACAUUCUAAGCAUAGUUGCAUCAUAAAAGGGUGGAAUAAGUAGUUCUAAAAUCCAUAGGGAAAGCUGUUAUUUGGUUGAAAAGUAUGAAGCUGACUGUGUUGAACUGAGACAUAUGGGCGUAAGUGUUGUGUUUGGAAGAAUGCCUAAUGUAAAAAGAGUUAUUGAUUCUGCAUUUUUGGUUCAUUGUAUUUUUUUCAUUAAUGUUUAACAUGAUGCAUUUGUAUCGCCAAAAAAUUGGUUUACCUGUGAUUUUCUUGCAGGUUUUGCAAUUUCUGUCUCAGAAUUGCUGCCUCCCUCUGCCAGAACUGAAAAAUAUGGUUCAAUAUAUUUAGAUAACUUUGUUACUGGUAUAUGACAAUAACCAUGCAUAUCAUAUAUGUGGACUCAACAAUGUUCUGAAUACUGCAAAUGUAGGCAAAUUUACACGCAAAAGGAAAUCAAACAUAUUUAGAUUCAAGGUUCUUGCUAGAGAAGAUUUUCAAUCUUGUAGAGAAGUUAGACUAUGAGUUAAAUUAAGCAAGAAUAUGUAUGUUUAACCAUUUUGAUGAUAAAUCACUUCUUGAGUUCUUCGUGUACUUGUCAAAGUUAUGCACAUUUUAGCUCUUGCUGUGGAAGCUUUAUUCUAUUUUUGUCUUUUGGAUUUAAAAAUUAGGAUCUUAGAGCUAACAACUAGUAAAAAGCUAGGUGAAAUUUAUAUGCACUUACAGAUGCUUUUUCUUCUAGAAAUUGCCAAGUACAAACUUCAGGAUAUUGGAGGAUGCUUCUAGUUCUAUGUAUUUCACCAAUGGAAGCUCAAAGGAAUAAAACACAUCAGGAUGUGAAUUCCAAUGUAGAUAGAUAAUAUAUAAAUUUCUGGAUUUGGUCUACAAGCAAGGAAAUGAAAGUUCUAUUUUGCCAUUGGACUAUGUUAUUGACUUUGGAGCUGUUGAUGAAUAUAAUGUGUUGGAGGAAGCUAUUGCUUAGCUUCUCAACAAAGUUGAGGCAGUCUUUGGAGAAAGAUAACUGUAAAAAUUUCCUCCUUUCUUUAGGGUAAUUAAAGGCUCUUAUUUUUGGCUUGCCUGCUCAAGAAACUUAGCAAGUAAAAUCCCAUGGGAAAUUUAUAUGCACUGAUAGUUUUCUGCUGGAUAUAGCGAAGUACAAACUUUCUUCAGCGAGUUAAAUGAUUCUUUAUCUAGAAUUAAUCAGAGAAUGCUUCUAGCUUCAAUAUAUAUCAUAGGUAAAAACUGUAAAAGCAUCAAAAAGCAUAAUAAGAGGCAGGAGUCAUGGUUUUCAAAGUAGAAAUAUUAUACUUCAGUAUUUGCGUUUGGUCUAGAGGCAAGGAACAUCAGGUCUAAGAUGAAAGAUGGCUUUAGAAGGAAAUUUAUGAAGUCAUUAGGUAAAGCUAACUGCAAGGAUUUUCCCAUUGUUUAAUGUAACUUCCUGUUAGAAUGUUCAUAUCGUGAUUUAAACAUGAGGGAGAGUUAAAAGCAGGUUUUACUAUUGUCAACUGUUAUAGUGGGGAUUUCUCAUUGGUGAAUUAAAAACUUUUCACUGGAAACUUUGAAAGUACUGUUAUUCUUCAUAGAGAAAGACACCUACAGAGGAAAUUUACCAUUGCGGUCGCUCUCUAAAGGAAAUAACUUCCAUGCACAUAGGAAACUUAGAACAAUUGACUGCUAUGCCACUCUGUAAUCUCUAACUUCGUCGAAUCUCUUCUUUACUUAAUUCUAGGAUUCUGCUCUAAGAUAACAGUUAACAUUGGAAAUUUUUUAAUCUGUUGAUCAGUUAAGAUUUUAGUCAUUUUUAUGCUGUAGUUGCCCCUUAAACCAUAAAAGCAUGACAGCAAGCUAUGAUAAGUGGUAGUUCUCUCAACUUUCCAGGUUGAAUGUCAUGACUGUGGCAGGUACAAGUACCUCCUUAUAACUUUCCAUCCUUGCGUGCGUCUUUAUGUUAGAUGUUAAUUCUUUCAUCACCACAUGAAUACUAGUAGGAGAGAGCAUAAGUAUAUAUUAUAUUUUAAUUAUUUUACAUAUAUUAUAAAUAUAUAAUAUAUUAUUUAAAAAUUAAUUUGGUUAACUGACUGAAUUGACCGAUGUUAAGUUGGUUUGGUUAUAGUAGGAGGAUGGUAAAUUAAGUAAAAAGCCAUCCAAACCGACUGACUUAACCAUAUGUGCACCCCUAAAUACUAGUGCAUGAUUUGACCAUAGUUCUUGUUUUCGGGAGGUAUCUUACUGCUAUAACUGGUCUCUAUUCGUUGUCUGGUCUGAACUUUGUACCAUUCUCACCCUCAUCAAUUUUUAUAUUUUGAAAUAUAUCCUCUUUAUCACUGUUAGAAUUAGCAUGUCCUAGGCUCGUAGAUUUUGUAGACCUAUCUCAUUGUGUUUUUUUAACUAGUCUCAAAUAAUAUUUUUUUGAUUGAUAGGUAGAUAAAUAAAAAGAGGGAGGGAGGGAGUUAAUUGAAGUGUUGCCUAGCCUUCCAGUGGCGAUAUGAAGUGUUUGGUUAUCCAAACUAAUCUCCAUUUAAUGUCCAUUGUCAUGCCUGAAGAUGAUAAUUUCUUAGCAUUUUUAUUUUGCUUAUAUUCACCAUGGGCCCAUUUUGGUUUCUUCGAUGUUGUAUCUUAAUUGGUAAUGUUUCCAUCAUAGAAAGGCAAGAUCCUAGCAUGGUUAGCCUAUGCAUGCACUUAUCUCAUUCCUAUUCCAACAAUCCGAAGAGUAAUUAAUGGAAUGUAUCCAAACCAAUUAUCUUCAGGUUUUGCUGCGGCCAAAUUUUUGUCAUCAGUUGCACAAAAUCUAGACCUGAAACUGAUGCUUAACUAUAAAAUUUUACGAGCAUUUUGUCCUAUUAACUUAUGCCUGCUGCCAAUCUGAACUGAUGCUCAGCUAUAUAAAUUUACAAGCAUUUUGUAACAGUAGCCUAUGCCUGCUGCCAACCUGAGACCCAUGCUUAGCUAUAAAAAAUUUUCAUGCAUCAUGUUUCCAGGUAUGCUUGUAAUGUUUGGUCCCCGAAAAAAUUAUUUAACCUUGCAAUCUUACAUUUUCUUUUUCCGGAGAAGUUAAAUGCCUGCUAAUUAGCUAAUAAUAAAAUUAUGUAUCAAGCAUGCUCUGUAGAUACAAGACAUUUAGGAUUAAGUACUUAAACAAUACCUUGACUUCUGAGGUUGGGCUCCCCAGUUGCUGAUGUUCCUCCUUUGCUUUGUUGUAUCGCUCAAUUAUAGAUCUCAUGCUAGCAAUAGAAGAUUUGAAUUGUAUCAGGGAUUCUGUAAUUUCUAAAUGCUUACACUAGAGAAGAAACACAGAGAGGACAUUCAAAAUCAUUGUACGUAGCUCCAGAAAGUAUAAUGAUAGCGUCUGUCAAUUUCACUAGUAUCUAAAAUUGUUGUAUCUGACAGUUGUGAUUAUAUUAUUCAAUGACAGCUUCCUUCUAGAAAGAUAAACCAGCUAUUGAACAGAACAGUUGAAGUUACAAUCCUAUACGUAAGUUUUCUUUUUGGUUAAAUAUGAUAGUCUUGAUUUGUUCAAGUGCUGUUUCCUCUUCAUGCUUGCUUUGUUUGCCUCAUUCAACUAUAACAUUAAACCCUAUGCUACUUCGAUUCUUUUUUUUUUUUUAAAUAUUCAUGCCUAAUCUGUACCAAACAAACUUUUAGCCAGAUGAAUAUAUCCAUAUCUUGAAUCGCCACUAAAUCUGGUUACAUUCAUGGUAAAAUAUAUUGUAUUCUGUUAUCCCUACCUUGUAACCCUUGCGAUUCCCUCCCUACUUUGUUUUCGAGUCUGAUUAUUAGGAGGUAAACUAUCUGGCUGAAAUUAUCAGUCAUUUUGAGAAAGGAAUUCCAUCUUUUUCGUUAACUCUGCAUGGUUCUUUACCACAACCAUGAACGUAAAGAUGGAGCUUGUUUGAUAUCAUAACCUCAAGGUAUGGAUGUUUCUUUGCUAUGCAAUCAAGGUAUUUUAUCUUAAUCUGCUGUUGGAACAGAAGCUAUUUCUUUCAUAAUUUAAAAUGUCACUGUUUUUAACCCAAACUUGUUUUGUUUGAUGGAAAUCAUCUAUUAUCAUACGUUAGAAUCACUUAAUAUUGAUCUUUUCAUAUAGCUAUACCAUAGAUGUGCUCCAGGCAAACUUUUAUUGGUUUUUAGGAGGAUCACCUCCUGUACUCUGUUUGAAUAUAUUAGGUGUUGAUGUUAGACAUAAAUGCUUUAAGGAAAAUGAAUAAUUUGGAUAAUGUAAGAUAUGCUUAUGCUUAAUUCAUGUCCUAAUGGCAAAACCUUCAUCUAAAAAUUGCUCAAGGUAUGACAUGUUAGUAUGAAUUCAAGGGGAAGAAAAGGGUAAAAGAUUAUAAAUAGAUUUUCAUGGGUUGAGAUGACUUCAAGUUGAGCCUUAGGAAAAGUAAUAUUCAUGCAUGAUUUGUUUGACCCAAAAUAUUAGAUAGAAUAUUCUGCUUACAUUUGGUGUGAUAUGUAAAAAAGGCACCAUCCUUGUUUGAAAAAGCCCAAAUUUGUACACAAAAGUCGAUCUCAAGGGUGGUUUUUAUUAAACUACCUUUUAUGCUAUCAUUAGUACCCUCAAUUUUAGGGCAUGAUCGAAUCAACUUUGAUGUGUUUGAGCAUCAUGAGCAACAUUAAGUUUUUGUGUCAAAAGAAGCUACUUAAUUUGUUAUUCAAACUACUUAGAAGCUAUCAAUUUAAAAGCGAAUCACUUCUCACUUGAUAGGUUGCUGCUAAGUUAAAGCCAUAUUACUGGUUAGCACAUUCAUCAUCAUUGUUAGUUUUCUUGUUUAGAUCCCAUCUUAAGGAUUAUAAUUUGGACAAGGAUUAGAAUAAGGAUGAGAUGAAUUUCUUAUGGGAUUUGGAUGAGAAGUGGCUUAGAAGCUACCUAUAAACGCAUAAAACCUUUGGAUAAAAGGAAUCCAAGUGAGAGUGUUUGUUUUUAAACAACUCUGUUUCUCUUCACUUCUUUUUGUUCUCAACUCAACGAGUGGUAGCAAAGCUUUAUCUAGGGACCUGAGUUAGGCGAUUGGUUUGUGGAUUUGGGAGCAUCUGAUCAUAUGAUAGGGGAUAAAACCUUAUUUGAAUCUUUAAACUCAUGUUAUGAGAAUUAGACAAUAAGGAAAGCAGAUUGACCUCCAUGAAAAAUAGUUAUAGCAAGUUUCGUUAAAAUUUCAACUAACUUUUCGUUUAAUUCUUUUCCAAAUAUAGAUUGUAAUCUUUUGUUGCUAUUUUUUUUUUAAAGUUUGUGAAUUUUAGGACUUGAACUUGAGGUCAAAUAGCAAUUUUGAAUAGUUGUUGGGUUUAUGUUCUCAAAAUUCUUGACAAUAAAAGAAUAAGGCCAUCCAAAACCCAAUUGUCUAAUGGUUCAAGCCCAAAAUUACGUUGACCUUGUUUCUUAGAUGGCAUUAUUGUUUAGGACAUCGAAAUUUAUCUAUCUUACAUGCACAAAACAUAUGCCUUGAUCAUUCAUGUAAGCAAAUCAUCUGAUCUUUGGUAAUAAUCCAUAGAAAUGUGUGGAGACCAUCUAGGGUAAGACCUAUCACAAACUUUAUUUUGUUUGUUUCCAUUAUAGAUAAUCACACUAGGCUUAUAUAGGUUUUUUGAAUAAAAAAAAAUCUAGAGAAACUCCAACACCAUGAUCCUAUCACAGUUUAAUUUAAGAAACAAAUCCUAAGAACUGAUAAUGCUAGAGAGUAUUUCAGAUCCAACUUAGGGUUUUACCUAACAAGUCAAUGCAUGGUUCACUAAAGUUCAUGUGUAAUCACGCCCCAACAAAUUGACAUUGUUGAAAGAAAAAAAGUAAGCAUGUAUUUGAUAAACAGAAUGCCCUCUAGGAUUUAAUGUACUCGAAUCUUUUCUAAAUAUAAUCCCUUGCGUUAAUUGUUCCUUUGAAGACAUCUAGGUGUAUUGCUUGUAUCCAUACCUAUAAACCACAAACUCUAUUGAGGUAAACUAAAUCUUAAAGUCAUUAAUGCUGUGUUUGGUUACUAGUGUAAUAACAUGAGUAAAUAACUUAUUUAACACAUGUUUUAAAUAGUUAAGCCAUAAAAAAAUGAUUACUACAAAUUUAAACAUACAAUUAGAAAAAUGAGUAAAAAAUUAUUGUAAAGACUUUUUCAAAAUAAGCGAAAAGUUUUCAAUUUAUUUGCUACAAACAAGUCAUGAGUGGUUAAAUAUUACCAAUUGUGGUUAGUUUAUGACUAACCAAUGACUAAAACAUGUAGAAAAAUAAAACUCCUACUAAACGUAACAUAAAUAUAUUUUUAUAAGGUAUUCUCUAAACCAAGGGUGUAAGUGCUAUUUGGCCACUACACACAAAUAAUAUAACAUCACGGAUAUCACAUUCUUUGAGCAAAUACCAUAUAACCUUAAAUUGACUAGUUUUAGUGAAUAUGGAGCAACUAAAUUAUUAUUGAGAGUGAACCAAUACUCGUAUGCUAACUUUGGGAUAACCAAAUGAAUCAUAAUUAAUUAGUAAACAACUCUUAUUUAGAGGGUUGUUACAUAGAAUCCAAACUUGGCAAAACUUAGCAACAAGAUCUAUACAUUUAGCAUCUUACAAAGGUUUUAGGAAAAGGAAGAUAACCUCAAACCUUUGCACCAAAAACAUUAGAACCAAAUAAAGACCUUAUUGUAUAAAUUGUAUCAACACUAAUUUAUCAAAGUCAAGUUAAAUCCAAGUUAAAAUUAUAAUAUACACACACUUAAAAAUUAUAAUUCUCAUAUUGAGUUGGCCGUCAAUGCAUUAUCUUCUGCUACUUGAAAGGGAUAAGAACAUGCUCUCAACACUUAAUCCCCACCUUUGAUUCAUAUGAGGGAUUGUCCUUAAGAUUUGAGCAUUGGUGAUUAUCUUGAUAAGAUUAGAAUCCAAAACAAUGUCUAUGAGGCCUUAAAGAACUAGAAUGGAGGAAAGUUGUGCAUGAAAAAUUUAAGCCUUAGAAAAAAAUGAAACCAGGGAGAUUAUAAAUUUGCCACUAGAGAAGAGUUUAGUAUGAUGUAAAUAGGUGUAUAUUAUAAAAUAUAAAUGUGAAAGUGUGGAUUGAUUCAAAGUUAGAUUCAUUAUAAAAGGAUUCACUUAGUUUUAUGGAAGUGACUAUCAAGAGAAAUUUGCUCUUUUUUCAAAAUACAAUACAAUUAAAUUUCUCUUUUUGUUGGCGGUAGGCCUUGAUUGGUCCUUAAAUUAACUUGAUGUUAAGAAUGCAUUUUUUCGUUGUCUAGUGCAAAAAAUGCACAUGAAGGUUCCACCAGACGUUAAAACAUAGACUCAAAAAAAAGAAAAAAUUAUGCACUUGGAUUUGUUAAAAGAAACAAGAAUGCUUGAAUUUACAUUGAGAAGUACUCAAAUGAAAACAAGUAAAAGUUAGGGUGUAAUGAAAGUACUCUAGUUAACAAUUGUAGAUACUAGAGGCUUGUUGGAAAUGUUGGAAAAUUGAUAUUUUUAACUCACUAGAGGUGAUAUUGCUUUCUUAAUUAAUGGUGUAAGCCAAUUUAUGAAUGAUUUGCAAGAACACAUGAAGCUCUGUAAAUGGGGUAGCUCUUUUUAUAUGUGCUUUGGAAAGCUAAAUGUUUUCUUUUAAUGGCAUUUUUUUUGUUAGCCAUAAUUCCUCACUUGUUAAGGAGUUUUAAUGACUAAAGAUAUUAACAAUGUCACGCUAGCUUGUAGAAAGAUUAUCGCCAACUUGAGAAUUCAAGCUAGGAUUAUUCUCAUUCGACAAACCCUCUCUUGAUGCACAAACAGGGAUCAACUCAUGAAAAAGGAAAUCAACAUUUAAGCAAACAUCUGUUGCUCGGUAGGACUUUUUUUAGCUAGCCAUAAUUCCUCACUUGUAAAGGAAGUUUUAAUGGCUAAAGAUAUUAACAAUGUCAUGCUAGCUUAUAGAAAUAUUAUCGCCAAACUUAACAAUGUCAAGCUAAGAUUAUUCUCAUUCAAUGAACCCUUUUUUUGAUGCACAAACAGGGAUCGACUCAUGCAAAAAGAAGUCAACAAUUAAGCAACAUUUGUUGCUUGGUAGACAUCUUUUUUAGCUAGCCAUAAGUCCUCACUUGUCAAGGAGUUGUAAUGGCUAAAGAUAUUAACAAUGUCACGUUAACUUGCAGAAAGAUUAUCGCCAAUUUGAGAAUUCAAGCUAGGAUUUUUUUUAUUCGACGAACCCUUCUUUUGAUGCACAAAUAGAGAUUGACUCGUGCAAAAGGAAGUCAACAAUUAAGCAACAUUUGUUGCUUGGUAGACAUUUUUAGCUAGCCAUAAUUCCUCACUUGGUGUUUUUAUUUGUUUGAUAACUUGUAUCAAAGGAAUGUUUGAACAACUUUAAUUAGAAUACGUGUAAGCAAUUUUAUCUUAAUUAUCAAAUCUACACAUGAUGGAAUGGAAAUAUGACACCUUGAAAUUUUGCCCUUUUUAUUUUCAUCAUCAAGCAUAGGCUUUAUUAAUUACAUUGAUAUUUACUUUUUAGUUUUAUCAGUUCAAACAUUUACUUACCAUGCCAAAUAAAAGAAACUUACACAAAUAGAUCAAUUUUAACGUAAAUAAUGGGCAUUUCGAAAAAGGAUCAAUUUU